RNAcentral lists this ribosomal RNA (433 nucleotides) under uncultured bacterium. RNAcentral describes it as "partial 16S ribosomal RNA". It matches the Rfam family "Bacterial small subunit ribosomal RNA", at positions 29 to 507 of the family's 1533-position model. The record is from RNAcentral.
AACGAACGCUGGCGGCAGGCCUAACACAUGCAAGUCGAGCGAGGACUUCGGUCCUAGCGGCGGACGGGUGAGUAACGCGUGGGAACGUGCCCUUUGCUUCGGAAUAGCCCUGGGAAACUGGGAGUAAUACCGGAUGAGCCCUUUGGGGGAAAGAUUUAUCGGCGAAGGAUCGGCCCGCGUUGGAUUAGGUAGUUGGUGGGGUAAUGGCCUACCAAGCCGACGAUCCAUAGCUGGUUUGAGAGGAUGAUCAGCCACACUGGGACUGUGACACGGCCCAGACUCCUACGGGAGGCAGCAGUGGGGAAUCUUAGACAAUGGGGGAAACCCUGAUCUAGCCAUGCCGCGUGAGCGAUGAAGGCCUUAGGGUUGUAAAGCUCUUUCAGCUGGGAAGAUAAUGACGGUACCAGCAGAAGAAGCCCCGGCUAACUCCGUG